This is a small nucleolar RNA of Laticauda laticaudata (blue-ringed sea krait), 83 nucleotides long. The record is from Ensembl. NCBI's taxonomy places the organism in Eukaryota, Metazoa, Chordata, Lepidosauria, Squamata, Elapidae.
CUGAGCUACUGAUGAUACAAAGUUAUCCCUGUCUGAAAAGAGAAAGUUGUUCUUUUUGUGGAAUUGUGGAUUCUGAAGCUCAG